This is a non-coding RNA of Pelobates cultripes (western spadefoot toad), 262 nucleotides long. Lineage: Eukaryota; Metazoa; Chordata; Amphibia; Anura; Pelobatidae. The record is from the annotation of a GenBank genome assembly.
UAACAUAAAAACCCAGCCCCACCGGCUGAAAUGCGUUCCCUGCCCGCUAGGCAGUCAAGCUAACAUAAAAACCCAGCCCCACCGGCUGUAAUGCGUUCCCUGCCCGCUAGGCAGUCAAGCAAACAUAAACCGCGUUCCCUGCCCGCUAGGCAGUCAAGCAAACAUAAACCGCGUUCCCUGCCCGCUAGGCAGUCAAGCAAACAUGUAAAAUGCGUUCCCUGCCCGCUAGGCAGUCAAGCAAACAUAUAAAAUGCGUUCCCUG